This 235-nucleotide ribosomal RNA is filed under the name uncultured bacterium. RNAcentral describes it as "partial 16S ribosomal RNA". It matches the Rfam family "Bacterial small subunit ribosomal RNA", at positions 32 to 261 of the family's 1533-position model. The record is from RNAcentral.
AAUCAACGCUGGCGGCGUGCCUAACACAUGCAAGUCGAACGAGAAAGUGGAGCAAUCCAUGAGUAAAGUGGCGACCGGGUGAGUAACACGUGACUAACCUACCUUCGAGUGGGGGAUAACCUCGGGAAACCGGGGCUAAUACCGCAUAACAUCUUUGAAGUGGAAAUUUCGGAGAUCAAAGGAGCAAUUCGCUGGAAGAGGGGGUCGCGGCUGAUUAGCUAGUUGGCGGGGUAAC